Molecule: long non-coding RNA, 895 nt
Organism: Gorilla gorilla gorilla (western lowland gorilla)
Lineage: Eukaryota; Metazoa; Chordata; Mammalia; Primates; Hominidae
Exons: 3
Source: RefSeq, a predicted model, not a curated record
CUAGGAGCAAGGUCGCUCCGCCUCGGUGGUGGUCACGUCCGGCCAGCUGUGGCCGCAUCCCUGUCGGCUAGCUCGGGUCUGGCCCACGGUGACUGUUACCCCUGGGGAAUGGGGCAGCUCUGAUCCAUCCAACGCUGCUGCACUGGAGACGGGGUCAGAAAUCAGGAGUGAGGACUUGUUGAAAGAAAUAGGAAGGAAUCAGAUCACAUAAAUGCUGGCCCCAAAUGUUUGCAUCAUAAACCCAUUGCCUAAUUUUACAGAUGAGAAAAUAAAGCUCUCUAAAUAACCACAAAGCUCCUACUCCUACUUCAGACAUAUCAGAAAAAUGAGAUAAUAAUGCACAAACCAAGUUUCAAAAGCUCUAUGGUAGGUCUGGAGAGAUGGAGAUCAGUUCUUGUCUGUCAGCCCCUGUUCUUCCAUUCUUAUAAGGUUACAGAAUCUCUAGCAAGGGACAUGACAGCUCAGGGAAAAAGCACACAUUUCCCAGCAUUCUUUAAGGCAAAGUGUGUCCAUGUGACCAACUUCUGGCAAACAGGCUGUAAGAAAAUGUGAUGCUGUGUCCUUAAAGACAAGGGACAUGCCCUCCCUGCCCCCAAACCUUCAUCGACCAGGUGGAAUGUUGACAAGGGAGAGCAUCAGAGCAUCUUGGACCAUGUGAAUAAGGGUGUGGCUGCUGGGGAUGACAGAGCAACUAAAAGGAGGAGGCACAGAGCUGCUAUAUCAGCCCCAGAUGGCUUACUUUCUGAUGAUACAUGAGAGAGAAAUAAACUUUCAUCAAAUUUAAACCACAUUUAUUUGGGUUCUUCAAAUUAAUUUCCAAGCCCAUAGCCUAACUAAUGCCCCUAGAAAUUAGGAAGGAUGGAAAAAUCACACAACACAAGAGUUAAAAAGUUAA